GCAUAUGGCCAUACCACCCUGAGCGCGCCCGAUCUCGUCUGAUCUCGGAAGCUAAGCAGGGUCGGGCCUGGUUAGUACUUGGAUGGGAGAUUGCCUGGGAAUACCAGGUGCUGUAAGCU
RNAcentral lists this ribosomal RNA (119 nucleotides) under Betta splendens (Siamese fighting fish). The record is from RNAcentral. Lineage: Eukaryota; Metazoa; Chordata; Actinopteri; Anabantiformes; Osphronemidae.